CAAUAGCGUAUAUUUAAGUUGCUGCAGUUAAAAAGCUCGUAGUUGGAUUUCGGGUGGGAAUGGCCGGUCCGCCGUUUCGGUGUGCACUUGCUACGCCCACCUUGCUGCCGGGGACGUGCUCUUGAGUUCACGCUCGGGACACGGAGUCGGCGAGGUUACUUUGAGUAAAUUAGAGUGUUCAAAGCAGGCCUACGCUCUGAAUACAUUAGCAUGGAAUAACACGAUAGGACUCUGGCCUAUCUUGUUGGUCUGUAGGACCGGAGUAAUGAUUAAGAGGGACAGUCGGGGGCAUUCGUAUUUCAUUGUCAGGGGUGAAAUUCUUGGAUUUACGAAAGACGAACUACUGCGAAAGCAUUUGCCAAGAAUGUUUUCAUUAA
Molecule: ribosomal RNA, 377 nt
Filed under: uncultured eukaryote
Lineage: Eukaryota
Description: partial 18S ribosomal RNA
Rfam family: Eukaryotic small subunit ribosomal RNA
Source: RNAcentral